GACAGAGGGUGCAAACGUUGUUCGGAAUUACUGGGCGUAAAGCGUGUGUAGGCGGUCCUGUAAGUCGGGUGUGAAAGCCCAGGGCUCAACCCUGGAAGUGCACUCGAAACUGCGGGGCUAGAGUACCGGAGAGGUUGGUGGAAUUCUCGGUGUAGAGGUGAAAUUCGUAGAUAUCGAGAGGAACACCGGUGGCGAAGGCGGCCAACUGGACGGAUACUGACGCUGAGACACGAAAGCGUGGGGAGCAAACAGG
This 253-nucleotide ribosomal RNA is filed under the name uncultured bacterium. RNAcentral's name for it is "partial 16S ribosomal RNA". It matches the Rfam family "Bacterial small subunit ribosomal RNA", at positions 524 to 776 of the family's 1533-position model. The record is from RNAcentral.